ACGGGUGAGUAACACGUAGGUAACCUGCCUAUAAGAUCGGGAUAACUAUCGGAAACGAUAGCUAAGACCGGAUAACUGGUUUUCUCGCAUGAGAGAAUUAUGAAACACGGAGCAAUCUGUGGCUUAUAGAUGGGCCUGCGGCGCAUUAGCUAGUUGGUAGGGUAACGGCCUACCAAGGCGACGAUGCGUAGCCGACCUGAGAGGGUGAACGGCCACACUGGGACUGAGACACGGCCCAGACUCCUACGGGAGGCAGCAGUAGGGAAUCUUCCGCAAUGGACGCAAGUCUGACGGAGCAACGCCGCGUGAGUGAUGAAGGUUUUCGGAUCGUAAAGCUCUGUUGCCCUAGACGAACAGCAAGAGGAGUAACUGCCUUUUGUGUGACGGUAUAGGAGAAGAAAGCCCCGGCUAACUACGUGCCAGCAGCCGCGGUAGUACGUAGGGGGCAAGCGUUGUCCGGAAUUAUUGGGCGUAAAGCGCGCGCAGGCGGUCAAUUAAGUUGGGUGUUUAAGCCCGGGGCUCAACCCCGGUUCGCAUCCAAAACUGGUUGACUUGAGUGUAGGAGAGGAAAGUGGAAUUCCACGUGU
This 587-nucleotide ribosomal RNA is filed under the name uncultured bacterium. RNAcentral's name for it is "bacterial SSU rRNA". It matches the Rfam family "Bacterial small subunit ribosomal RNA", at positions 102 to 676 of the family's 1533-position model. The record is from RNAcentral.